This 445-nucleotide ribosomal RNA is filed under the name uncultured bacterium. RNAcentral's name for it is "partial 16S ribosomal RNA". It matches the Rfam family "Bacterial small subunit ribosomal RNA", at positions 354 to 796 of the family's 1533-position model. The record is from RNAcentral.
GUGAGGAAUAUUGGUCAAUGGGCGAGAGCCUGAACCAGCCAAGUCGCGUGAAGGAAGAAGGAUCUAUGGUUCGUAAACUUCUUUUGCAGGGGAAUAAAGUGCAGGACGUGUCCUGUUUUGUAUGUACCCUGAGAAUAAGGAUCGGCUAACUCCGUGCCAGCAGCCGCGGUAAUACGGAGGAUCCGAGCGUUAUCCGUAUUUAUUGGGUUUAAAGGGUGCGUAGGUGGUUUGAUAAGUCAGCGGUGAAAGUUUGCAGCUUAACUGUAAAAAUGCCGUUGAAACUGUCGGACUUGAGUGUAAAUGAGGUAGACGGAAUGCGUUGUGUAGCGGUGAAAUGCAUAGAUAUCACGCAGAACUCCGAUUGCGAAGGCAGCUUACUAAGCUACAACUGACACUGAAGCACGAAAGCGUGGGGAUCAAACAGGAUUAGAUACCCCGGUAGUCC